GUGAGUAACGCGUGGGCAACCUGCCCCAAAGCUCGGGAUAACACUCCGAAAGGAGUGCUAAUACCGGAUGUAGUUGCGGUACUGCAUGGUACUGCAAAAAAAGGAGAAAUCCACUUUGGGAUGGGCCCGCGUCUGAUUAGCUAGUUGGUGGGGUAACGGCCUACCAAGGCGACGAUCAGUAGCCGACCUGAGAGGGUGAUCGGCCACACUGGGACUGAGACACGGCCCAGACUCCUACGGGAGGCAGCAGUCGGGAAUAUUGGUCAAUGGGGGAAACCCUGAACCAGCAAUGCCGCGUGAGUGAUGAAGGUUUUCGGAUCGUAAAGCUCUGUCUUCGGGGACGAAUAAAUGACGGUACCCGAGGAGGAAGCCCCGGCUAACUACGUGCCAGCAGCCGCGGUAAUACGUAGGGGGCGAGCGUUGUCCGGAAUUACUGGGCGUAAAGGGCGAGUAGGCGGUUUAAUAAGUCAGAUGUGAAAUGCCAGGGCUCGACCCUGGAACUGCAUUUGAAACUAUUAGACUUGAGUGCAGGAGAGGAAAGUGGAAUUCCCAGUGUAGCGGUGAAAUGCGUAGAUAUUGGGAGGAACACCAGUGGCGAAGGCGACUUUCUGGACUGUAACUGACGCUGAGGCGCGAAAGCGUGGGGAGCAAACAGGAUUAGAUACCCU
Molecule: ribosomal RNA, 668 nt
Filed under: uncultured bacterium
Lineage: Bacteria
Description: bacterial SSU rRNA
Rfam family: Bacterial small subunit ribosomal RNA
Source: RNAcentral